Apus apus (common swift) is the source of this 1483-nucleotide long non-coding RNA. RefSeq lists it as uncharacterized. Lineage: Eukaryota; Metazoa; Chordata; Aves; Apodiformes; Apodidae. The record is from RefSeq and is a predicted model, not a curated record. The transcript has 3 exons.
GUUACAGCAAUGGCACCAGAGUAACUGCUGUUAAGCUCUCACGUAUAUCCUCCUUCAAGAUUCUUGAUUAUAGGUACUUAAAUAUAACCGCUGUGGAUUUUAUGAUACUCUGGGACAAGAUAAAGGAGAAUGAAAACCAGUGAGCCAAAUGGACCUUCCUCUGCUGUUCAGGGAAGAAUUUAAGCUUGUAGGAGGAAAUUCAUGGAUUCCACAUUCAAACAUAGUGGUAGGAGAAUCAAGGCAGCAGUUAAAGAGAUUCCCCAAGAGAGCUGCUAGGUUUUGAACUUCUGCCUUCCUUUGAUGUCCAGUUCCUCUGUGGGCCAGAACGAAGGAUGGAGAUCUAUGGGGAAGGAUGGAAAAGUCUGGUCUGGCCAAGUCUCACAGCCAUUCAAAGUAGCUUUGCUAUUUUAAAGCAAAGAUAUUGAACUAUAUUUCUAUAGCAUAUUAACAUGAUAUAUUAAUGUUUUAACAGAACAUAUUAUUUACAAGAUAAAAUGUUAUUUCUCUGACAACAGAGAGCAGGGCCAUGGAAAUUUCUCCCUCUCCAAACCCGGUGUGCUCCCUCCUCUCUUUUCCCUCAUGGGCUUUCGGUCCCUGAGCAUGAGCUGCCCCUGCCACCAUCUCUGCUCCUCCUACCCCAGGAGGUCUGGGGACAUGCUGCUGGAACAGGUAAUUCCCCUGCCACCUGGCUGGGGCAGAGGGGAGGUGCAACACAGGCAAAGGAAAUGGGGUGUCGUUGGUGCAGACAUGAGCUGGACUGAGCAGACCUUGAGCUGACCCUUGUCAAGUGCACUACAGAACAUCUCUGAGUGACAGAUACUAACGGAGUACAUCAAGGUGCCUGAAUGCUUCCCAUUUUGCCUGAAACGAAGGAUUCCACCAUAUGUUCCAUAAUGCUGCAUUGGCUCUUGAUUAAGUCUGUUUGCCAUUAGGUUUCCAAUUUAUUUUUUUCCCUUUUUGUUUUGUCAUUUGCAUCACGUACUUGGUUUUUUUAAGACUCUGUUGCAUGUGUGCUCAAGUGUUCUGGCUUGUGCAGAGACUUUUUCUGCAAUUGCUUGUUCUGUGAUUCUUCACUACAGAGCUGCAAGCUCACAUUAAUGUCAAUGAGUAUCCUGACAUAUUUGCAUUUUGAGAUUUAAACAUGAAUGAACAGAUGCUUUUACUGAUGUGCUUAGAAACUGUGGUGAGGGGUGUGGUACAGCAACGUUGAUGAUCCAGAUCUGUUAUGACAUUCUUCCUAAAUUAUUGAAUCCAUCUUACUCUAUGCUAAUUAGAUCUCUCUUGUUUGGUGAUAAAACCAGACCCGGCAGAAAAUGGGAACUUAAUUAACUUUCAUGAACCAUUUAGACAAUAAUAGACCUAUGAACAAUUAGUAACCUGGAUUUACAAUGCACAAGUCUUACAAUCUCAGCUUGUUGGGUUUUUUUAAAUAGUUGUAAAAUCAGUCAAUAGAUGAGCAAUAAAUGCAAUAUAUUUGCAUGUA